AUUGAACGCUGGCGGCAGGCCUAACACAUGCAAGUCGAGCGGAGCGGCGGACGGGUGAGUAAUGCCUAGGAAUCUGCCUGGUAGUGGGGGAUAACGUCCGGAAACGGGCGCUAAUACCACAUACUCUCAGAUGAGCCUAGGUCGGAUUAGCUCGUUGGUGGGGUAAAGGCCUACCAAGGCGACGAUCCGUAACUGGUCUGAGAGGAUGAUCAUUCACACGGGAACUGAGACACGGUCCAGACGCCUACGGGAGGCAGCAGUGGGGAAUAUUGGCCAAUGGGCGAAAGGCUGAUCCAGCCAUGCCGCGGGUGUGAAGAAGGUCUUCGGAUUGUAAAGCACUUUAAGUUGGGAGGCGUUACCAACAGAAUAAGCACCGGCUAACUUCGUGCCAGCAGCCGCGGUAAUAC
Molecule: ribosomal RNA, 407 nt
Filed under: uncultured bacterium
Lineage: Bacteria
Description: partial 16S ribosomal RNA
Rfam family: Bacterial small subunit ribosomal RNA
Source: RNAcentral